RNAcentral lists this long non-coding RNA (563 nucleotides) under Marmota monax (woodchuck). Lineage: Eukaryota; Metazoa; Chordata; Mammalia; Rodentia; Sciuridae. The record is from RNAcentral.
AUGUCACUGUUUUUAUGGAAAAAUAUAUCCAAGUAUAUUGGAGUAUUUGGUAGCUUGCCCUCAAAAAUUUUUAUAUAACCUCUAUAAAAUUAGAAUUUAUGAGUGACCGUUUUAUGAAUGAGGGAAAUGUGAAAUUUGAUGACUUGGCUGGAUCAUCAGUUUCAUAACAAUCUGUAUCAGUAUUUUAAGGUGUUUUGUCCAAAUAAAAGCAUGUUUCUAUGUAGGAUCAAUUAAGAUUUUCUUCACAGGGAUAGGAAACUGGCUGUAGUAGGUGAGGGUGUUGUCCCCAAAAGGCUGACAUUUAUUAUGUAAAUUUUAGUACAUGGUUAUAUCUCUCUAUAUAUAUACUGUCAAUUUGAAACUGGCAUCUGAAGAAAUACACUAUCUGGCUGAGUGGAAUUUUUUUUGCUUCUCUUAGUCAGAUAGUAGGUUGUUUCACAAUAAAAGGAGAGUAAAGUUUCCAAGGCCCGUUCACCACUCUCAGUAUUCCUUGAUAGAGGAGGGAGUCCCCCACAGGAUCAUCUAAAUAUGCAGGUAACCCUGAAGUCUGUUUAUUAGCUUCA